Non-coding RNA from Xylaria palmicola, 72 nucleotides. The record is from the annotation of a GenBank genome assembly. NCBI's taxonomy places the organism in Eukaryota, Fungi, Ascomycota, Sordariomycetes, Xylariales, Xylariaceae.
GGUUUCCUAGUGUAAUGGUUAUCACAGCGGGUUCUGAUUCCGCUAAUCUGGGUUCGAUUCCCAGGGAGACCU